This 402-nucleotide ribosomal RNA is filed under the name uncultured bacterium. RNAcentral describes it as "bacterial SSU rRNA". It matches the Rfam family "Bacterial small subunit ribosomal RNA", at positions 355 to 774 of the family's 1533-position model. The record is from RNAcentral.
UGGGGAAUAUUGGACAAUGGGGGAAACCCUGAUCCAGCAAUGCCGCGUGAGUGAAGAAGGCCUUAGGGUUGUAAAGCUCUUUCGCCCGCGAAGAUAAUGACGGUAGCGGGAGAAGAAGCCCCGGCUAACUCCGUGCCAGCAGCCGCGGUAGUACGGAGGGGGCUAGCGUUGUUCGGAAUUACUGGGCGUAAAGCGUACGUAGGCGGAUGCGCAAGUUGGGGGUGAAAUCCCGGGGCUUAACCUCGGAAUUGCCCUCAAAACUGCACGUCUUGAGACCGAGAGAGGUAAGGGGAAUUCCUAGUGUAGAGGUGAAAUUCGUAGAUAUUAGGAAGAACACCAGUGGCGAAGGCGCCUUACUGGCUCGGUACUGACGCUGAGGUACGAAAGCGUGGGGAGCAAACA